RNAcentral lists this ribosomal RNA (518 nucleotides) under uncultured bacterium. Its description in RNAcentral is "partial 16S ribosomal RNA". It matches the Rfam family "Bacterial small subunit ribosomal RNA", at positions 355 to 889 of the family's 1533-position model. The record is from RNAcentral.
UGGGGAAUAUUGGACAAUGGGGGCAACCCUGAUCCAGCCAUGCCGCGUGAGUGAUGAAGGCCUUCGGGUUGUAAAGCUCUUUUGGCGGGGACGAUGAUGACGGUACCCGCAGAAUAAGCCCCGGCUAACUUCGUGCCAGCAGCCGCGGUAAGACGAAGGGGGCUAGCGUUGUUCGGAAUUACUGGGCGUAAAGCGAGUGUAGGCGGUUGCCGUAGUCAGGUGUGAAAGCCUUGAGCUCAACUCAAGAAAUGCACUUGAUACUGGGUGACUAGAGGACCGGAGAGGAUAGUGGAAUUCCCAGUGUAGUGGUGAAAUACGUAGAGAUUGGGAAGAACACCAGUGGCGAAGGCGGCUAUCUGGACGGUUACUGACGCUAAGACUCGAAAGCGUGGGGAGCAAAACAGGAUUAGAUACCCUGGUAGUCCACGCCGUAAAACGAUGGGUGCUAGACGUUGGCGAGCUUGCUCGUCAGUGUCGCAGCUAACGCGUUAAGCACCCCGCCUGGGGAGUACGGCCGC